This 440-nucleotide ribosomal RNA is filed under the name uncultured bacterium. RNAcentral's name for it is "partial 16S ribosomal RNA". It matches the Rfam family "Bacterial small subunit ribosomal RNA", at positions 338 to 795 of the family's 1533-position model. The record is from RNAcentral.
CCUACGGGAGGCAGCAGUGGGGGAUAUUGCACAAUGGGGGAAACCCUGAUGCAGCGACGCCGCGUGAGUGAAGACGGAUUUCGGAAUGUAAAGCUCUGUCAGCAGGGAAGAAAAUGACGGUACCUGACCAAGAAGCCCCGGCUAACUACGUGCCAGCAGCCGCGGUAAUACGUAGGGGGCAAGCGUUAUCCGGAUUUACUGGGUGUAAAGGGAGCGUAGACGGUUUUGUAAGUCUGGAGUGAAAGCCAGGGGCCCAACCCCGGGACUGCUUUGGAAACUGUGGAACUGGAGUAGAGGAGGGGCAGGCGGAAUUCCUGGUGUAGCGGUGAAAUGCGUAGAGAUCAGGAGGAACACCAGCGGCGAAGGCGGCCUGCUGGACUGUAACUGACGUUGAGGCUCGAAAGCGUGGGGAGCAAACAGGAUUAGAUACCCGGGUAGUC